GUGUGUCGUGAGGCAUGCUGGAGGUAUCAGAAGUGCGAAUGCUGACAUAAGUAACGAUAAAGCGGGUGAAAAGCCCGCUCGCCGGAAGACCAAGGGUUCCUGUCCAACGUUAAUCGGGGCAGGGUGAGUCGACCCCUAAGGCGAGGCCGAAAGGCGUAGUCGAUGGGAAACGGGUUAAUAUUCCCGUACUUGGUGUUACUGCGAAGGGGGGACGGAGAAGGCUAUGUUGGCCGGGCGACGGUUGUCCCGGUUUAAGCGUGUAGGUGUGUGUUCCAGGUAAAUCCGGUUCACUUUAACACUGAGGCGUGACGACGAGGCACUACGGUGCUGAAGCAACAAAUGCCCUGCUUCCAGGAAAAGCCUCUAAGCAUCAGGUAACAUCAAAUCGUACCCCAAACCGACACAGGUGGUCAGGUAGAGAAUACCAAGGCGCUUGAGAGAACUCGGGUGAAGGAACUAGGCAAAAUGGUGCCGUAACUUCGGGAGAAGGCACGCUGACACGUAGGUGAAGUGAUUUACUCAUGGAGCUGAAGUCAGUCGAAGAUACCAGCUGGCUGCAACUGUUUAUUAAAAACACAGCACUGUGCAAACACGAAAGUGGACGUAUACGGUGUGACGCCUGCCCGGUGCCGGAAGGUUAAUUGAUGGGGUCAGCGCAAGCGAAGCUCCUGAUCGAAGCCCCGGUAAACGGCGGCCGUAACUAUAACGGUCCUAAGGUAGCGAAAUUCCUUGUCGGGUAAGUUCCGACCUGCACGAAUGGCGUAAUGAUGGCCAGGCUGUCUCCACCCGAGACUCAGUGAAAUUGAACUCGCUGUGAAGAUGCAGUGUACCCGCGGCAAGACGGAAAGACCCCGUGAACCUUUACUAUAGCUUGACACUGAACAUUGAGCCUUGAUGUGUAGGAUAGGUGGGAGGCUUUGAAGUGUGGACGCCAGUCUGCAUGGAGCCGACCUUGAAAUACCACCCUUUAAUGUUUGAUGUUCUAACGUGGACCCGUUACCCGGGUUGCGGACAGUGUCUGGUGGGUAGUUUGACUGGGGCGGUCUCCUCCUAAAGAGUAACGGAGGAGCACGAAGGUUGGCUAAUCCUGGUCGGACAUCAGGAGGUUAGUGCAAUGGCAUAAGCCAGCUUGACUGCGAGCGUGACGGCGCGAGCAGGUGCGAAAGCAGGUCAUAGUGAUCCGGUGGUUCUGAAUGGAAGGGCCAUCGCUCAACGGAUAAAAGGUACUCCGGGGAUAACAGGCUGAUACCGCCCAAGAGUUCAUAUCGACGGCGGUGUUUGGCACCUCGAUGUCGGCUCAUCACAUCCUGGGGCUGAAGUAGGUCCCAAGGGUAUGGCUGUUCGCCAUUUAAAGUGGUACGCGAGCUGGGUUUAGAACGUCGUGAGACAGUUCGGUCCCUAUCUGCCGUGGGCGCUGGAGAACUGAGGGGGGCUGCUCCUAGUACGAGAGGACCGGAGUGGACGCAUCACUGGUGUUCGGGUUGUCAUGCCAAUGGCACUGCCCGGUAGCUAAAUGCGGAAGAGAUAAGUGCUGAAAGCAUCUAAGCACGAAACUUGCCCCGA
RNAcentral lists this ribosomal RNA (1563 nucleotides) under Salmonella enterica. RNAcentral's name for it is "partial 23S ribosomal RNA". It matches the Rfam family "Bacterial large subunit ribosomal RNA", at positions 1256 to 2802 of the family's 2925-position model. The record is from RNAcentral. Lineage: Bacteria; Pseudomonadati; Pseudomonadota; Gammaproteobacteria; Enterobacterales; Enterobacteriaceae. RNAcentral also lists the same sequence under 1 other name.